CUCUUCGGGGAUGAUUAAACCGGCGCACGGGUGAGUAACACGUGAGUGACCUGCCUUUUAGACUGGAACAACUUACCGAAAGGUGAGCUAAUGCCGGAUGAGUUAUAUAAGUGCAUGUUUAUAUAGGAAAAGUUGGGGAGACCUGACGCUGAAAGAUGGACUCGCGUCCCAUUAGCUAGUUGGUAGGGUAAUGGCCUACCAAGGCGACGAUGGGUAGCCGGCCUGAGAGGGUGGCCGGCCACACUGGGACUGAGACACGGCCCAGACUCCUACGGGAGGCAGCAGUGGGGAAUUUUGCGCAAUGCUCGUAAGAGUGACGCAGCGACGCCGCGUGAAUGACGAAGGCCUUCGGGUCGUAAAGUUCUUUCGACAGGGAAGAAAAUGCCUAUAAGUAACUGUGUAUGUAUUGACGGUACCUGUAUAAGCAGCCCCGGCUAACUCCGUGCCAGCAGCCGCGGUAAUACGGAGGGGGCGAGCGUUGUUCGGAGUGACUGGGCGUAAAGAGCACGUAGGCGGUGUUGUAAGUCAUUAGACAAAGACUAGAGCUCAACUUUAGUAAGGCUAGUGAUACUAUAAUACUAGAGUAUCAGAGAGGAUUGCAGAAUUCCUGGUGUAGCGGUGAAAUGCGUAGAUAUCAGGAGGAAUACCGUUAGCGAAGGCGGCAAUCUGGCUGGAAACUGACGCUGAGGUGCGAAAGCGUGGGUAGCAAACAGGAUUAGAUACCCUGGUAGUCCACGCUGUAAACGAUGGAUGCUAGGUGUUGGGCUUU
RNAcentral lists this ribosomal RNA (769 nucleotides) under uncultured bacterium. RNAcentral describes it as "bacterial SSU rRNA". It matches the Rfam family "Bacterial small subunit ribosomal RNA", at positions 76 to 831 of the family's 1533-position model. The record is from RNAcentral.